RNAcentral lists this long non-coding RNA (203 nucleotides) under Elaeis guineensis (African oil palm). RNAcentral describes it as "long non-coding RNA (EGUI_LNC075650)". The record is from RNAcentral. Lineage: Eukaryota; Viridiplantae; Streptophyta; Magnoliopsida; Arecales; Arecaceae.
AAAAUAUUCUCAUUUUUAAUACGGUAACUAUCCCAUCUAAAUCUCUUCCUCAAAAUUUUCUUUUUCUUUCUUCCCUCCCUGCUAACUGUUCGAAAGGCACUGCUUCACUGCACACAGCUGAAGAACAUCUCCAAUCUGCUCACAGUGCCUCCCCAAAAAUAUCCUGCACACAUUUAUAAUCAUAUUUCAUUUUUUUUUUGGGC